Molecule: RNA transcript, 2308 nt
Organism: Mus pahari (shrew mouse)
Lineage: Eukaryota; Metazoa; Chordata; Mammalia; Rodentia; Muridae
Gene name: F-box only protein 44
Exons: 7
Source: RefSeq, a predicted model, not a curated record
AGUGGGCGGGUCGCACCCCGGGCCUCCAUUGGACCGUAUGGCUCACCCCCAGGAACCAAGGGUAUGGCGCAGCGCGACCAAAUGUAGUUGACAAGGAGAAUGGGGGAAGGGAGAGGGGCCAGUGUUGUGGGCUGGGGCUGGGGCGGGGUCUGAUGAGUAGUAGGCGGGGCUGUGUCUUGGGUGCUGUUCUCCAACGCGUAACCCCGCUAAGAGCAGGUGACAGAAGGAGGGGAGCAGUGAGCGCCCCAGCAAGGAGACGUUUGGCAGGCAGUAGGCAGGUCUGCAUUCCGGGCCACGCAGGCUCGGGCUGUAAAGCCCCACGGCCUGGCAGGAUCGCUCAGAGCGGCGGAUCGCAGGAGCAGGCUAGGAGAUGCCACCAUGGCAGUAGGCAACAUCAACGAGCUGCCAGAGAACAUCCUGCUGGAACUGUUCACCCACAUACCGGCCCGCCAGCUGCUGCUGCGCUGCCGUCCCGUCUGCAGCCUCUGGAGAGACCUCAUUGAUCUGGUUACACUCUGGAAGCGCAAGUGCCUUCAAGAGGGCUUCAUCACCCAGGACUGGGACCAGCCUGUGGCUGACUGGAAGAUCUUCUACUUCCUGCGCAGCCUCCAGAGGAACCUCCUUCACAACCCUUGUGCUGAAGAGGGAUUUGAGUUCUGGAGCCUGGAUGUGAAUGGAGGAGAUGAAUGGAAGGUGGAGGAUCUCUCCAAAGACCAGCGGAAGGAAUUCCCCAAUGACCAGGUCAAGAAAUACUUCGUGACUUCCUAUUACACCUGCCUCAAGUCCCAGGUGGUGGACCUCAAGGCUGAAGGGUAUUGGGAGGAGCUGAUGGACACCACCCGGCCGGACAUCGAGGUCAAGGACUGGUUUGCAGCCAGGCCAGACUGCGGGUCCAAGUACCAGCUGUGCGUCCAACUCCUGUCGUCAGCCCACGCACCACUGGGAACCUUCCAGCCAGACCCGGUGAUGAUUCAGCAGAAAAGCGAUGCCAAGUGGAGGGAGGAUGUAGUGGUUAUUCCUGGUCUGGUCGUUAACUCGACUGUGUCUGGAAUGAACUACAAUCCAGAAUUGGAAGGCUCACCAGUGAUCCAGAUCUUGAGGCUGGGAGAUACAAGUUUCUGACCUGGAUCAUAGCAUGGAAACCUUGAGACAGAGUGGCCACGAGAAGCUUAGGCUCAAAAGAGGUAAUACAUGCCUUUAAUCCCUGGAGACCGAGGCAAGGAGACCUCUGAGUUCAUGGUCAGCCUGGGACAAGCAAGUCCCAGAUCCAGGCAUGGUGGUACACACCUUUAAUCUGGACCACACUUUCUGCUGGAGACCUAUAUAAGGACACUGGAAGAAGGAAGGUGUCUAUUCUUCGCCUGUUUGCCUGUGGGACUGAGCAACUGCUAGAUCCUUGGACUUCCAUUCACGGCUGCUGCUGACUGCUAUGGGAAGUUGGACUACAGACUAAGACAUCAACAAAUUCCCUUACUAUAUAGAGACUACCCAUCAAUCCUGGGACUCUAGAGAACCCCAAUUAAUACACAGGACUAGCCUCUCAGCUCUGCUGCUGCUGCUGUGGGAAAACAACUUCAGACACGUGAGCCCUGUUGAGGCGACAGAGUAGCCAGUAGUGACUUUUGUUGACACUGUAUCAGUGACUUGUCACUGUAUCAACUGCCCCAGGGUUCUCAUGUAGCCCAGGCUGCCCCCAGAUUGCUACAUAGCAGAGAACACCUUGAGCUCCUGCUCCUCCUGCCUCUAACCCCCACCCUGCCUGGUUUAUGUGGCCUCCGGACUGAACACAGGACUGUGUGUAUGGUGCUCUACAGGGCAAGUACUUUUCUGAACUAUAGCUCUUUUGUUGUUUUCUGAUGGAAUCCCUCUCUAAGGUACUAUGUAGCCAGGGAUGACCUUGAACUUCUGGCCCUCCGGCCUUCACCUCCUGAAUGCUAGAAUUAAAGGUGUGUACCAUCAUGGCACUAGGGAUGAAACCUAGGGCUUGCAGCGUGCUACACAAGCACUUUUGAUAAAUCUCCUCUCCCCAGCUCUGUUCUGCUGUUCUUGCAAAAGAUAUAUUUUUACUUUAUGUGUACAAGUGCUUUUUCCUGUGUGCCUAGAAGGCCAGAAGAGGGCUUCAGCUCUCCUGGAACUGGAGUUACGGAUGGUUGUAAGUUGCCCUGCAGGUGCUGGAAAUGGAACCCUGGUCUUCUACAAGAGUAGUCAAUGCUCCUAGAUAUGGAGUCAUCUCUCCAGUCCCCCUGGCUUUGCUUUUGGAGACAGAUCUUACAGAGUAGACCUGACUGCUCCCCUCUGUCUGCCCCUG